Leptonychotes weddellii (Weddell seal) is the source of this 1423-nucleotide non-coding RNA. The record is from RefSeq and is a predicted model, not a curated record. NCBI's taxonomy places the organism in Eukaryota, Metazoa, Chordata, Mammalia, Carnivora, Phocidae.
GGUGGGGCCGGCUGGCUGCUGGUUCACCAGGAGCCACAAGGGUGCGCAUUUGGCCUCCUGGGAGCGUGGACAUGGCCCACGGGCCCUUGCGAGCUGUGGGCAGAGGGCUGUCCUGCGGCAAGGCAGCUGGUGCCUGAACAAGUCCACUAGCGCAUCGUGUCUGUGCAUACCCAGAGAUGAUCUUGAAUCAAUGAUGGGGAGAUAUGGAACAUCAUUCAUAUAUCACUUUAGUAUAUAUUUAGUAGCCACCUGCUGUGGGCCAGGCACCAAGCCACACUGCGCAUAUGGGGUGAGCAAGAAGAGGCCCCCUGCCCUGAUCCUGCAGUCAAGAAACAUUUCUGAACUUCCCAGGCACCUGUGAGCCAUGCCGGCAUGAAGCAUUAAUGGGUCUCCUUUCCCUUCUGGUGGGUGCACCUGAGGGAACCCUGCAUGGCAGCUGGUUGCGGAAGAAGCCAAACCAGAAGCUGACAGCAAAUCAUAAAGCCCCUGGGAUUGUGUCCUAUUUAAAUAGAUCACCUUGUUUCCAAACAUUUAUUUAUUUCCCUUUUGAUUCUUUCUUCUCCGUUUGCAAGCCUGUAUUUCCAGCUUCACAGUUUUCUAGCGUUUACCAUGUGUUAGGCACUGUGCUAGCCACCUUUGGCACUGCAUCCUCUAAUGAGCGAAGCUGCCUGUGAGCCAUUCUACCCCUUUUCUUGCUGUUGCAUGGCCUCCCUCCGCCCCAUUGGCUGCCAGCUCAGCAUUCACCUCUUGGCCUUGCUCACUGUGUUGCCCCCUGCAUCUCUCCUAGCCUCCUAGGGACCUGAGGGCUCUUACUCAAACCCGCCUCGCCUGGCACAUCGAACCACAGCAGACACAGCAAGUUAAGUCCUGCGGUGAGGGAGGGAGGUUGGGCCAGGGGGGCGACUGACCUUUUCUCAUCCUGCACUUGGGUCCUAUACCUCCCAACUGUCUUAAUUGACAAGGUUGGCUAUGUUUCUGUACUUUUACUUACCAGUUAAGCCUCCCCUUAUAUGCAUUUUCUGUUCAUGUUCUUUGUCUACUUAUCUACUGAGGUCUUGAAUUUUAAAAAAUCAAUUUGUAUGAAUUCUUUAUGUAGCAGAGAUAUUAAAGCAUUUCCGCUAUGUUUGCUGCAAAAUUCUUUCUCUGUCCAAUAUUUGUUUCCUUGGUUUUUGCUAUAAAGAAGAUAUGUCUUCCGAGUGUAAAGUUUGCACCCAUAAAUAAGAAGGGCCAUAUUUAAAUGUGUGUACCUUUCUCUUAUCUUUACAUAGCCUAUAAUAUGUUUUCUCAGGCAGUUUAAGUCUCACUCUGGAAUGCUCAGAUUAGCAGCCAAGGAUGUGUUCAGGAGGAGGGAGAAAUUGGAUCCCUCUGUGACAGGAAUGGCUAAUGACAUUUUUUCCCCUGAUGAGGCGUAUGGUCCACUCUU